This is a non-coding RNA of Pogona vitticeps (central bearded dragon), 1215 nucleotides long. Lineage: Eukaryota; Metazoa; Chordata; Lepidosauria; Squamata; Agamidae. The record is from RefSeq and is a predicted model, not a curated record.
UGUCUGUUUUACAGCUCCGCUAAAUGACUGAUGAUAUAGUGGGAGGAGGCUCCAUAUUUAUGGGUGUUAUCUUGGACAGAAGAUGCUGUCCACACAGGAAACAAUAAGGAUAUGCUACCUUGAACUCACCAAAGGGGAUCAUCUCAUCAUCCAAUUAAGAUGGGAUUUGACCAACAAAACAUUACCUCCACCAAAACCAACAUGCAUCCAGAAGCCACCCCUAAAUAUAGGAUGUUCUGGAGGCUGUGAGAAGAUCCAGCAUUUCAAAAGCAACUUUUACCUGAACUAGAUGAAUCGGAACUCGGCACGCUCACAGGACUCCGGUAUUCAUUGUUGCAACCUGAAACCUAUGCAAUACAUAAGAAAAAGACGUGCCUGGAGAAAUCCAUCUUGCCAUGAACUUUUGGACUUUGAAGUUCUUCACAUGCCUGAUGAAGUGGAUGGUCCUGAUCUACAAAAGUUUGCAGUUUGUAUGAUGCUUUUUCAAGUGGUCUAUAAAGGUAUUGCCGACUUUUAAAUCUGUGUUUUGUAUUGACCACAUGGCUCCCUUUUAUUUCAAUAGAAUUAUGAGGAUACCUCACAGAGCCCAAUUGUAAUAAUUCAGCCAGCUCUCCAAUUUAAAACUGUGACUAAAUGCAGAAGUGGCCGCUUCAAUAUCAAGCCAGCUUUUCCUCCCACCUUCCACUCUGCUUGAUGUCCAGCCCGAUGAAGCGUUCUGGAGAACUCUAAACCUUUCUCCUUAUCUGGCAACAUUCUGAUCUGUCCUAACCAAAGCAUGGCUGCCUUGACCAACCAUGCAUUUUGGAAUAUAUGUGGACAUUUACUGUUUCCUUGAUUGCUGCUCUCCCCCCUUUUUUCACAUCCUACACUCAAUUUGGGUUCUUGUAGGCAGAAACCUGCAUUUUGCUUUCUGUGGCUCUGUAAAACGUAUAUACAGGGAGCAUAAUAAAGAAGAAAGGCAACAGCAAACAAUAACAAAACAAUAAUUAUACUCAGGGACACUGUGGGCUAUUCAUUCCUUCCCUCCUCUCCACUUCUCUGAAUCCCAGGUAUUUAAAUUUGUAUUAGGGCUCUGGGCCUGGAGCAGUGGAGUUCCUCUGAGCAUAUCCAAAGCAUUUUCUCCCACCACUAAGGAAUCGCCACAGAUCUCCGUUUUGGAGGAGGUGGGGGCAGAGCUUUAACACCGGAGCUCAAGGCCUACACAUCCAAGCUUAU